This 1574-nucleotide ribosomal RNA is filed under the name Campylobacter jejuni. RNAcentral describes it as "partial 23S ribosomal RNA". It matches the Rfam family "Bacterial large subunit ribosomal RNA", at positions 162 to 1737 of the family's 2925-position model. The record is from RNAcentral. Lineage: Bacteria; Pseudomonadati; Campylobacterota; Epsilonproteobacteria; Campylobacterales; Campylobacteraceae.
ACAUUACCUAUAUAGGAGCGAACGAGGGGAAUUGAAACAUCUUAGUACCCUCAGGAAAAGAAAUCAAUAGAGAUUGCGUCAGUAGCGGCGAGCGAAAGCGCAAGAGGGCAAACCCAGUGCUUGCACUGGGGGUUGUAGGACUGCAAUGUGCAAGAGCUGAGUUUAGCAGAACAUUCUGGAAAGUAUAGCCAUAGAGGGUGAUAGUCCCGUAUGCGAAAAACAAAGCUUAGCUAGCAGUAUCCUGAGUAGGGCGGGACACGAGGAAUCCUGUCUGAAUCCGGGUCGACCACGAUCCAACCCUAAAUACUAAUACCAGAUCGAUAGUGCACAAGUACCGUGAGGGAAAGGUGAAAAGAACUGAGGUGAUCAGAGUGAAAUAGAACCUGAAACCAUUUGCUUACAAUCAUUCAGAGCACUAUGUAGCAAUACAGUGUGAUGGACUGCCUUUUGCAUAAUGAGCCUGCGAGUUGUGGUGUCUGGCAAGGUUAAGCAAACGCGAAGCCGUAGCGAAAGCGAGUCUGAAUAGGGCGCUUAGUCAGAUGCUGCAGACCCGAAACGAAGUGAUCUAUCCAUGAGCAAGUUGAAGCUAGUGUAAGAACUAGUGGAGGACUGAACCCAUAGGCGUUGAAAAGCCCCGGGAUGACUUGUGGAUAGGGGUGAAAGGCCAAUCAAACUUCGUGAUAGCUGGUUCUCUCCGAAAUAUAUUUAGGUAUAGCGUUGUGUCGUAAUAUAAGGGGGUAGAGCACUGAAUGGGCUAGGGCAUACACCAAUGUACCAAACCCUAUCAAACUCCGAAUACCUUAUAUGUAAUCACAGCAGUCAGGCGGCGAGUGAUAAAAUCCGUCGUCAAGAGGGAAACAACCCAGACUACCAGCUAAGGUCCCUAAAUCUUACUUAAGUGGAAAACGAUGUGAAGUUACUUAAACAACCAGGAGGUUGGCUUAGAAGCAGCCAUCCUUUAAAGAAAGCGUAAUAGCUCACUGGUCUAGUGAUUUUGCGCGGAAAAUAUAACGGGGCUAAAGUAAGUACCGAAGCUGUAGACUUAGUUUACUAAGUGGUAGGAGAGCGUUCUAUUUGCGUCGAAGGUAUACCGGUAAGGAGUGCUGGAGCGAAUAGAAGUGAGCAUGCAGGCAUGAGUAGCGAUAAUUAAUGUGAGAAUCAUUAACGCCGUAAACCCAAGGUUUCCUACGCGAUGCUCGUCAUCGUAGGGUUAGUCGGGUCCUAAGUCGAGUCCGAAAGGGGUAGACGAUGGCAAAUUGGUUAAUAUUCCAAUACCAACAUUAGUGUGCGAUGGAAGGACGCUUAGGGCUAAGGGGGCUAGCGGAUGGAAGUGCUAGUCUAAGGUCGUAGGAGGUUAUACAGGAAAAUCCGUAUAACAAUACUCCGAGAACUGAAAGGCUUUUUGAAGUCUUCGGAUGGAUAGAAGAACCCCUGAUGCCGUCGAGCCAAGAAAAGUUUCUAAGUUUAGCUAAUGUUGCCCGUACCGUAAACCGACACAGGUGGGUGGGAUGAGUAUUCUAAGGCGCGUGGAAGAACUCUCUUUAAGGAACUCUGCAAAAUAGCACCGUAUCUUC